Molecule: transfer RNA, 70 nt
Filed under: Schistosoma mansoni
Lineage: Eukaryota; Metazoa; Platyhelminthes; Trematoda; Strigeidida; Schistosomatidae
Rfam family: tRNA
About the family: Transfer RNA (tRNA) molecules are approximately 80 nucleotides in length.
Source: Rfam by way of RNAcentral
GACGUGGUAGUUAAGAUAUAACGUUUGUUUUACACACAGAAAACGGGGUUUAGUAUUGCUCCCAGCGUUA